Molecule: RNA transcript, 2210 nt
Organism: Paramacrobiotus metropolitanus
Lineage: Eukaryota; Metazoa; Tardigrada; Eutardigrada; Parachela; Macrobiotidae
Exons: 5
Source: RefSeq, a predicted model, not a curated record
AAUUCCUUCCGCUUUGAAAAGUGUCUUCCUUCCGGAGAUACCCUUUCUCGCUUGGCCGUCAUUCGUGCGACUGGUGGAUGAGAAAUGGGCACAUACGUGAAGCAGGUGCCCCGGGCACUGCGUCGCUCUCAAUCCGUCCCGUCGGGCCCGCGGACGGUGGUAAUCCGCGCAGCACAACCGCGAAAUGCCUCGGUCAGCUCUCCCGAUCUUCCCCGCUUCAUGAUGUUUCAGGGAGCCGAGAUCCCGCUGUCCACCCCGCUCGCGCAGAGGUGGGAUCGGGGACUGACCGUCUUCCCGCCGUCCGAUGCCGCACCCCCGCUGGCCGCUGCGGCGCGUGCAGUGGAGGAUCCCCGUCCGCUGACGGAUAAGCGCUGGCGGCGCGAAGCGAUGGGGAAACUGCUGAAUGUUUUGGAAGCGCACAAUUUCGAUUGGGAGCAUCCCAAGGGAGAUCGCCUACAGUUGCAGCAUCUGCUGCACAUGGAUCUUGCCAUGCUGCGCCAGAUUUUUUCUCAUUUGGAUGGCAUUCUCUCUGCCCACUCGGAUCCGGCCGAGAAGCUGCUGCCAGCCACCAUGGCCCAGCGGGCCCGCGAGAUGGGCUAUCCAUACCUCCGCAAGUUAACGCCGAACACGUUCAAGGCUCCCAAUAUCCCGUCGUCCUGGCCGACGGUGUGCGGAUUCCUGGACUGGCUGCGGGAGGCAGUCGAGGCGCAUCGCGCCGCGGGAGAUGCUGGCGCCGUCGACGCCCGGGAGGCGGCUGGCCAGGCUGCGCGUGCCAACCAGAAGCCCCGCGUCGUCCCCCGUCCGAUCGCUGUGCCCAUCCGUCAGGACGCCGAGUUGGCCGAGCAGUCGGGUGUGGGCCGUGUGGCGAUUGCUCCUGGUGACGCUGUGCCGGAUGCUGCUGCGCUGCAGCCCGCGAUGACUCCCGGUGGACCGCCCAGCGCCGACGCCUGAACGCCGUGUCCUUUGCCAUACCUGUGAUUUGUGGCGAGAAGGUGCAGAUGCUGCUGUCCGACCGCUUCCUCGGCUUCGUCAUGCUCCCCGUCGCCGGCUCCUGGAACUACAACAUGCACUGCACCAUGUCGGCUAACAGCGGUGAACGUGCCUCUUUCUAUCCCAGCCCGAAAAAUUAACAGAGUGGUGUUAUGAUGACCUGGAGGGACUGCAUUCACGGGAGACAAUCCCAGUAGAAAUACCGCGCCGUGGAUAUCCGGGCGGUGCGCGGCGCUGGUGGCCUGGGGACGUUAUCAAUCUGACGCGGGGAGUGGACCUAACGGUUAUGCAAUGGUACGCCGCGGUGUUCGUUGUCCAGGGGCGGGAUGACGCGGGUACCAUCUGGACGGACAUGGUCCCCCGGCAGCGUCUCCACUUCCCGGUGCCGGAAGCAUGGUGGACGGGGGAAGCGAAAGAACGAAGGGUCCCCGAUGACGCAGCUGCUUCCGGUGGCGUCGGGACGCUUCGUCAAGCGCAGUCUGCCGUUGCCGGCCGAAUAUCGUCAGGUGUCAGCAGCACAGCUGGCGCCGGUGCUCCGAGAGUCGCAGGCUAAGCACCAGCGCGCCUCUCAAGGCCAGGUGGUCGGUGUCGAUGUCGUGGACGGGCAGGGGCAUUUUAUUGUGGCGCUGAACGGUGAUGACGGGUGUCCGCCGCGGCAAGCCCAAGACAUAGCACAGGUAUGACGAGGUUUCUAGUUGUUGGCCACGUAACAAGUAGUUGUACUUAGUUGUGUGCCGCGGUCUGCCGUGUCAGACCAUCUAUCUGGUCCGCUGCUCGGUGAAGUCCCUGCACGACCUGACGCUACUGGAGCUGCCGGAACACACCACUAGCGCUGGAUGUCGACGUGGCCAAGAUGCGUCUGCCGUUAAACGGGGAUGUCGCCAGCACCGUGUGGAAUGCUCUCGAGGCGCUGCUGCCGACGCCCAGCGACGACGAGAUGCAAGCACUAUCGGCAUGGUUGGCGUUUGUCGGUACGGCAGACGAGAGCCACGAGUAGAGUCGAACGGCAGCCUGCAAAGUGUUGUGUACGACGCAGACCACUGAUCCGCGUCCCUCGUCGCAUUACCACGGGAAGAAGUGGUGUACUGCGGAACCUGCACCUGCCGAACCUGUCGCGUUUUUCCUUGCGCUUUCUUCUCAUCCCACGCAGUGGAUCCGAGUAACAGUGUCGGACUCUCCUAAUGGAUGUUUUCCUUUUCUCAAGUCGUUUUCAGCGUCUU